UCGAAGCCUAUAAAGCACGACCGCGAAUGAGUUUCAAAUCGGGGGCGUUGUUGGGAAGCUUUCGAGCAACCCAUUGCUCCCCCACUCGGAUGGGGAGGAGUCUCGCGCUGCUCACCUUCCAAAACUAACGAACCCCGGCGCGGCAAGCGCCAAGGAAUUAUAACGAAAGAACUUGUCCCUUAGGCCCGAUUAGGGUCGCGAGGGGCAUGAGUCUGUUCAAAUAUAUCAUAACGACUCUCGGCAACGGAUAUCUCGGCUCUCGCAUCGAUGAAGAACGUAGCGAAAUGCGAUACUUGGUGUGAAUUGCAGAAUCCCGUGAAUCAUCGAGUCUUUGAACGCAAGUUGCGCCCGAAGCCUUUAGGCUGAGGGCACGUCUGCCUGGGCGUCAUGCACUGCGAUGCCCCCAUCCAAGCAUGUGGAGCGAAGCAUGGCCUCCCGUGAGCCCAUCUCGCGGAUGGCUUAAAAUAGAGCCUCGAGACGGUGAGACGUCGCGACAAGUGGUGGUUAUGAGGCACUCGGCCUUCGAGCAUUUUCACGUCGUGAUCUCACCCCUCUCUUGCUCCUUAGUAACCCCAGUGGAGUGCUUUUGCGCUGCCAGCAUCG
RNAcentral lists this unclassified non-coding RNA (603 nucleotides) under Sedum sedoides. RNAcentral's name for it is "sequence contains ITS1, 5.8S rRNA gene and ITS2". The stretch from base 233 to 388 matches the Rfam family "5.8S ribosomal RNA". Lineage: Eukaryota; Viridiplantae; Streptophyta; Magnoliopsida; Saxifragales; Crassulaceae. The record is from RNAcentral.